RNAcentral lists this ribosomal RNA (490 nucleotides) under uncultured bacterium. RNAcentral's name for it is "partial 16S ribosomal RNA". It matches the Rfam family "Bacterial small subunit ribosomal RNA", at positions 30 to 507 of the family's 1533-position model. The record is from RNAcentral.
AUUGAACGCUGGCGGCAGGCCUAACACAUGCAAGUCGAACGGUAACAGGAAGCAGCUUGCUGCUUUGCUGACGAGUGGUGGACGGGUGAGUAAUGUCUGGGAAACUGCCCGAUGGAGGGGGAUAACUACUGGAAACGGUAGCUAAUACCGCAUAACGUCGCAAGACCAAAGAGGGGGACCUUAGGGCCUCUUGCCAUCGGAUGUGCCCAGAUGGGAUUAGCUAGUAGGUGGGGUAACGGCUCACCUAGGCGACGAUCCCUAGCUGGUCUGAGAGGAUGACCAGCCACACUGGAACUGAGACACGGUCCAGACUCCUACGGGAGGCAGCAGUGGGGAAUAUUGCACAAUGGGCGCAAGCCUGAUGCAGCCAUGCCGCGUGUAUGAAGAAGGCCUUCGGGUUGUAAAGUACUUUCAGCGGAGAGGAAGGGAGUAAAGUUAAUACCUUUGCUCAUUGACGUUACCCGCAGAAGAAGCACCGGCUAACUCCGUG